RNAcentral lists this ribosomal RNA (434 nucleotides) under uncultured Klebsiella sp. RNAcentral describes it as "bacterial SSU rRNA". It matches the Rfam family "Bacterial small subunit ribosomal RNA", at positions 958 to 1392 of the family's 1533-position model. The record is from RNAcentral. Lineage: Bacteria; Pseudomonadati; Pseudomonadota; Gammaproteobacteria; Enterobacterales; Enterobacteriaceae.
AACGCGAAGAACCUUACCUACUCUUGACAUCCAGAGAACUUAGCAGAGAUGCUUUGGUGCCUUCGGGAACUCUGAGACAGGUGCUGCAUGGCUGUCGUCAGCUCGUGUUGUGAAAUGUUGGGUUAAGUCCCGCAACGAGCGCAACCCUUAUCCUUUGUUGCCAGCGGUUCGGCCGGGAACUCAAAGGAGACUGCCAGUGAUAAACUGGAGGAAGGUGGGGAUGACGUCAAGUCAUCAUGGCCCUUACGAGUAGGGCUACACACGUGCUACAAUGGCAUAUACAAAGAGAAGCGACCUCGCGAGAGCAAGCGGACCUCAUAAAGUAUGUCGUAGUCCGGAUCGGAGUCUGCAACUCGACUCCGUGAAGUCGGAAUCGCUAGUAAUCGUGGAUCAGAAUGCCACGGUGAAUACGUUCCCGGGUCUUGUACACACCG